UACGUAGGGGGCGAGCGUUGUCCGGAUUUAUUGGGCGUAAAGAGCUCGUAGGCGGUCUGUCGCGUCUGCUGUGAAAACUCAGGGCUUAACCCUGAGCUUGCAGUGGGUACGGGCAGACUAGAGUGCGGUAGGGGAGACUGGAAUUCCUGGUGUAGCGGUGAAAUGCGCAGAUAUCAGGAGGAACACCGGUGGCGAAGGCGGGUCUCUGGGCAGUAACUGACGCUGAGGAACGAAAGCGUGGGUAGCAAACAGG
Molecule: ribosomal RNA, 253 nt
Filed under: uncultured bacterium
Lineage: Bacteria
Description: partial 16S ribosomal RNA
Rfam family: Bacterial small subunit ribosomal RNA
Source: RNAcentral